This is a long non-coding RNA of Mus spicilegus (steppe mouse), 1591 nucleotides long. Lineage: Eukaryota; Metazoa; Chordata; Mammalia; Rodentia; Muridae. The record is from Ensembl.
AUGAGGACCAAGGAGGCCAAGAGCAUUUCAGGGCCAGCUGCAUGGUGGUUGGGAUGUGCUAAGGAGGACUUCCCAGAAAGGUUUGAAUCGGACUUCCAGACUGGUCUAUGUGUCCUUUGCUGCAUCGGAAGGACGUGGUCUGCAAACCGCUCAAUGUUGGGCUUUGCCGAGGGGCUUUCUCUUAUCUCCCACUCUCCUUCCUCAGAACAGAAUUCAGCUGGUUUCAAUGUGGGGAUUAACGUAACCCAAGUGAGCAAUCUACUCUUCUGCAUGGAGAAUACUCUCAGGUCUGUUGUUUAUCUGUCUUCCGCCUACCCUACCCUAAUCUUCGGAGCUUAAAAGGCUUACGAUUCUUCUUAGGCCCGGAAUCAUUCUUAUAAGGCAACUAUUGACGAGCUAAACAGGAAUGAUUUCAAAACUUAGUGUGAGAACUUGGGGCUCCGAUUCCACUGCCGUGCACCAGGCAGAAGAGAAAAGAGUCCUUACGGGUCUCCUCAGAUACUGUCUCGCCAGAGGGCCACUGUGACCCUCACACACACCAGCCCAGCCCUCCCCCUCCUCAUCUGAUGCAGCGGUGACAUCCAAGACUUCCUAUCAGCUCAGUUCUAAGUGCUACCUCAGCCUGAGAGGAAGCGCCCUUCCCCCACUGUCCUGCCCACUUGCAACUUACACAGAGGCAUCCCCCUGCAGCCCAGGACCUGUUUUUGCUGCAUUGUUUCAUUUCCUGCUCACAGCCCAAGGAGGAAAGUUUCUAGAUGAGGAAACAGGUUCAGAGAGGGGUAAAGCCCGCCCAAGAGCCAUCAGUCAUGAGGUACAGUAUCAGGAUUUUUUUUUUUUUCGAGACAGGGUUUCUCUGUGUAGCCCUGGCUGUCCUGGAACUCACUCUGUAGACCAGGCUGGCCUCGAACUCAGAAAUCCGCCUGCCUCUGCCUCCCGAGUGCUGGGAUUAAAGGCAUGCGUCACCAUGCCCAGCUCAAUAUCAGGAUUUCAUCUCAAGGCUCUGACUCAACAGUCUUCGCAUGGCCGGUUCCUAGCUUGACUAUCUCAGUAGGACAGAGGAAAGCCACGAGGCUACCAUGCCAAGCUGAGCUGAUUGAAGAAGGAAACCUUACGCAAAGGAGCCCCUGCCCCCUCCAUCGGUGCUGAUUUUGGAGGGAAACUGGAAUCACCGGUUUUGAGGAUGUAAAGUGUGGCUGCAGGCAGCAGCUUCCCAGAGACUCUCUCACGAUGCUGGGAAAACACGGUGCCUUCUUCCCUGGGAUUUUCAGUCUCAGUUAUGUGCAAGGCUAGGGUUGGCAUGAAGCAUAGAGAAGAGGCAUAGAAAUCAGGACAGAUACUGGGACUCACUCGUGUGAAUCUAUGGAUGCCCCCGCCCCCAGUUUAGGGGACAGCAAGGCCCCAGGCUGUCUACACUCUAAAUCAUCUGAGGAAUAUGUGACAUCUACUCAGGGACCACAGAAUACACAGAGGUGUCCUGAUAAAAUAAUAAUGGGCAAGCCCUCCUCCCAGAAUUCCUACAGGGAAGACUUACCAUCCCCCUAGACAGGGAUUAGAGCUAAUAAAUCAGGAAUCAGGAUGUAGGAUAGAUACA